UGAGGAAUAUUGGUCAAUGGGCGAGAGCCUGAACCAGCCAAAUCGCGUGAAGGAAGACUGCCUUAUGGGUUGUAAACUUCUUUUAUACAGGAAUAAAAAAGGGGACGUGUCCCUUAUUGCAUGUACUGUAUGAAUAAGCAUCGGCUAACUCCGUGCCAGCAGCCGCGGUAAUACGGAGGAUGCGAGCGUUAUCCGGAUUUAUUGGGUUUAAAGGGUGCGCAGGCGGGCUUUUAAGUCAGCGGUGAAAUCUCGGGGCUUAACUCCGAAACUGCCGUUGAAACUGGGAGUCUUGAGUAUGGAUGAAGUAGGCGGAAUUCGUUGUGUAGCGGUGACAUGCUUAGAUAUAACGAGGAACUCCGAUUGCGUAGGCAGCUUACUAAGCCAUAACUGACGCUCAAGCACGAAAGCGUGGGGAUCAAACAGGAUUAGAUACCCUGGUAGUCCACGCCGUAAACGAUGAUUACUAGUUGUAUGCGAUAUACCGUAUGUGACUAAGCGAAAAGCGAUAAGUAAUCCACCUGGGGAGUACGCCGGCAACGGUGAAACUUAAAUGAAUUGACGGGGUCAUAGCUGUUUCCUG
This 580-nucleotide ribosomal RNA is filed under the name uncultured bacterium. RNAcentral's name for it is "partial 16S ribosomal RNA". It matches the Rfam family "Bacterial small subunit ribosomal RNA", at positions 355 to 1376 of the family's 1533-position model. The record is from RNAcentral.